UAAGCAUAUCAAUAAGCGGAGGAAAAGAAACUAACAAGGAUUCCCCUAGUAACUGCGAGUGAAGCGGGAAAAGCUCAAAUUUAAAAUCUGGCAGUCUCUGGCUGUCCGAGUUGUAAUCUAGAGAAGUAAUGCCCGUGCUGGACCGUGUAUAAGUCUCCUGGGAUGGGGCGUCAUAGAGGGUGAGAAUCCCGUCUUUGACACGGACUACCAGUGCAUUGUGGUAUGCUCUCAAAGAGUCGAGUUGUUUGGGAAUGCAGCUCAAAAUGGGUGGUAAAUUCCAUCUAAAGCUAAAUAUUGGCGAGAGACCGAUAGCGAACAAGUACCGUGAGGGAAAGAUGAAAAGAACUUUGGAAAGAGAGUUAAACAGUACGUGAAAUUGCUGAAAGGGAAACGCUUGAAGUCAGUCGCGUUGGCCGGGAAUCAGCCUUGCUUUUGCAUGGUGUACUUUCUGGUUGACGGGUCAGCAUCAAUUUUGACCGCUGGAAAAAGACCUGGGGAAUGUGGCAGCUUCGGCUGUGUUAUAGCCCCUAGUCGCAUACAGUGGUUGGGAUUGAGGAACUCAGCACGCCGCAAGGCCGGGUUUCGACCACGUUCGUGCUUAGGAUGCUGGCAUAAUGGCUUUAAGCGACCCGUCUUGAAACACGGACCAAGGAGUCUAACAUGCCUGCGAGUAUUUGGGUGGAAAACUCAAGUGCGUAAUGAAAGUGAAAGUUGAGAUCCCUGUCGUGGGGAGCAUCGACGCCCGGACCAGAACUUUUGGGACGGAUCCGCGGUGGAGCAUGUAUGUUGGGACCCGAAAGAUGGUGAACUAUGCCUGAAUAGGGUGAAGCCAGAGGAAACUCUGGUGGAGGCUCGUAGCGAUUCUGACGUGCAAAUCGAUCGUCAAAUUUGGGUAUAGGGGCGAAAGACUAAUCGAACCAUCUAGUAGCUGGUUCCUGCCGAAUUCC
This 947-nucleotide ribosomal RNA is filed under the name Agaricus sp. RNAcentral describes it as "eukaryotic LSU rRNA". It matches the Rfam family "Eukaryotic large subunit ribosomal RNA", at positions 35 to 969 of the family's 3401-position model. Lineage: Eukaryota; Fungi; Basidiomycota; Agaricomycetes; Agaricales; Agaricaceae. The record is from RNAcentral.